GAAGAGCCAGCAAUGUUAAUUUAGAGACUAAAAUACAUUAUUCCUUUCCAAGGUGAAAAAAUAUGGCAGUAAUAGUCUGAAAUUCAAAAGCACCAGCAGGAAAAUUUGAAGAUAAAUAACUGUGAUUUUGACUGAUUGGAUGUAAAUGAAGCAUUUACAGAAGCUGUUCUCAAACAGGACAAUGGGCUACCUAGAAGACAUUUGCCAACUAAUGAACACAUAUCUUUGUCACAAUUGGUGUAGUGCUAUUGGCAUGUAGUGAGUAGAAGCCACAAAUCCCUUCUAUAGUGUUCCUUCUGUCUUAUAAUAGACCCC
RNAcentral lists this long non-coding RNA (315 nucleotides) under Fukomys damarensis (Damara mole-rat). Its description in RNAcentral is "lncRNA (ENSFDAG00000028308.1)". The record is from RNAcentral. Lineage: Eukaryota; Metazoa; Chordata; Mammalia; Rodentia; Bathyergidae.